UACAGAGACUGCAAGCGUUAUUCGGAUUCGCUGGGCGUAAAGGGUGCGCAGGCGGCCAAGUGUGUGAGGCGUGAAAGCCUGGGGCUUAACUCCAGAAUUGCACCUCAAACUACAUGGCUAGAGCAUUGGAGAGGGUAGCAGAAUUCACGGUGUAGCAGUGAAAUGCGUAGAUAUCGUGAGGAAUACCAGAGGCGAAGGCGGCUACCUGGACAAUUGCUGACGCUCAGGCACGAAAGCGUGGGGAGCAAAAGGG
Molecule: ribosomal RNA, 253 nt
Filed under: uncultured bacterium
Lineage: Bacteria
Description: partial 16S ribosomal RNA
Rfam family: Bacterial small subunit ribosomal RNA
Source: RNAcentral